AAAAUACCCAAUUCUUACUAAACUAAACUCAAGAAAUUUUACACAUACUUACCAUUUAAUCAAAUUGAUCAUUAAUUAAUGUUUCUAACAUGCUCACAACCAAUUAAACUCAAUAAAUUUAGACAUUUAGUAAGUAAAUCAAAAAGUCCAAAAUUUUAGUAAACUAAACUUUUUGAAAAUCUUUAAACAAGCAUAAAUCAUCAAUCAAACUUUAGAUCUAGCAUAAUGACUCGCCUAAUUGCAUACAUCCUUCAUCAAAUUAGCAAAUUAAACCAAGAAAUCAAAUAUGCCCAAUUUACAUCAAACUAACUCAUGAGAAUUUUUACAAAUCAAAUCCAAUCAUCAAUCUAACUCUUGUACUAGCAUAUUAAUCAUCUCAAUAACAUAAUUCAAGCAUCAAUUCAUCAAUACUCAUCACCAAUCAAAAUUUCCACAUUUUAGCAAACUAACUCACAAGAAUUUUACAUAAAUCAUCAUAACUCAACAAACUAACCAUAGAUCUAUCGUGUAAAUACUUUCAAUUGAAAUUAUAACUCAUCAAUUUGAAGAAAUCACAAGAAAA
Molecule: long non-coding RNA, 562 nt
Filed under: Salvia miltiorrhiza (redroot sage)
Lineage: Eukaryota; Viridiplantae; Streptophyta; Magnoliopsida; Lamiales; Lamiaceae
Description: long non-coding RNA (SMIL_LNC001405)
Source: RNAcentral